AUGCGGCCGGCGAACCGCACGUUGCGGACUGGCGUACUGCACAACAUGUCAGGGGUAGAGCUCCACUAUAAAACGACGCACGCCGGUGACACUUCAGGACGUAGUCGGAGGAGACGCCCCCGAGCUCGGUGCACCUCGAUCCCAUGCGGGGCUGCUGCCCCAUGGCUCAAGAGCAUGGGGAAGGAUAGCUCGCUGGCAGACGCGUGUGGGAGUCCAGAUCGAGGGAAUGAAGUGCUCCGGGCAGGAGCGGGCGGGACCAGCCAUGGAUCGACGAGAUCCGUGCUGGGGAGGCUCGGGAGAGGCACCCCCGUCGGCCGGUGA
RNAcentral lists this ribosomal RNA (321 nucleotides) under Triticum aestivum (bread wheat). Its description in RNAcentral is "partial small subunit ribosomal RNA". The record is from RNAcentral. Lineage: Eukaryota; Viridiplantae; Streptophyta; Magnoliopsida; Poales; Poaceae.